UUGAACGCUGGCGGAAUGCUUUACACAUGCAAGUCGAGCGGCAGCGCGGGGCAACCUGGCGGCGAGCGGCGAACGGGUGAGUAACACAUCGGAACGUACCCUGUCGUGGGGGAUAACGAAUCGAAAGAUUCGCUAAUACCGCAUACGACCUGAGGGUGAAAGCAGGGGAUCGCAAGACCUUGCGCGACAGGAGCGGCCGAUGUCGGAUUAGCUAGUUGGUAGGGUAAAGGCCUACCAAGGCGACGAUCCGUAGCGGGUCUGAGAGGACGACCCGCCACACUGGGACUGAGACACGGCCCAGACUCCUACGGGAGGCAGCAGUGGGGAAUUUUGGACAAUGGGCGCAAGCCUGAUCCAGCCAUUCCGCGUGAGUGAAGAAGGCCUUCGGGUUGUAAAGCUCUUUCAGCAGGGAAGAAACGGUUGUGGUUAAUACCCAUGGCUAAUGACGGUACCUGAAGAAGAAGCACCGGCUAACUACGU
This 480-nucleotide ribosomal RNA is filed under the name uncultured bacterium. Its description in RNAcentral is "bacterial SSU rRNA". It matches the Rfam family "Bacterial small subunit ribosomal RNA", at positions 29 to 506 of the family's 1533-position model. The record is from RNAcentral.